AGAUGGAUGCAGCAUCAGCAGCAGAAGGCACCAAGCCCGUUCCCACCGAGUUCAAACAGAAAGACAGCAGACAGUUCAAGAGCAAAGCUCCCAAACCGGGACAGAAACAUCAUGACAACAACCAGGAGGAGUUUGAUGACUCUGCAGUGAUCUGCCCCUGGGAGGAGUUUGGUGACGUAGAGCUGAACGAUGUGGCUCAGUUUGGAACCGUCUAGACCUCACAGAGGAUACUUCGAUCUGAGGAAGAGGAGGGGUUCCAUCAUGCAUGGGUGCAGCAGUCAGAGAGCUUUUCCUACAAACCGCCCCCAUAACUAAAACCCAGCAGAGACAGAAACACUUUCAGUCAGAAAUGUAAAUUAUAACUAAUGAGACUGUAAAUAUUAUAGUUUUAUAAGAGUAUCGUGACGUCUUCUGACAUGAUUUUCUGCCAUUUUACUUUGUUCUGUUCAUGUUACAAACAAAAAUGUAAAUUUAUGAAUCAGAUCAGGCUUCUUUACAUCCAUUCUUCAUUGACUCCAAUUUCAUCCUCUGUAAUUCUAUAAAUCUGUAAUUUCUAC
Molecule: long non-coding RNA, 557 nt
Organism: Melanotaenia boesemani (Boeseman's rainbowfish)
Lineage: Eukaryota; Metazoa; Chordata; Actinopteri; Atheriniformes; Melanotaeniidae
Exons: 3
Source: RefSeq, a predicted model, not a curated record